Molecule: long non-coding RNA, 1920 nt
Filed under: Anser brachyrhynchus (Pink-footed goose)
Lineage: Eukaryota; Metazoa; Chordata; Aves; Anseriformes; Anatidae
Description: lncRNA (ENSABRG00000010698.1)
Source: RNAcentral
ACGCAAUAGCUCCUGGGAUGGGAGAGGUGAGGCCAGGGUUCAUCCACACUAUCGGGUUGGCAAGCUCCUGGCUUUUCUGUGCCUCCCGUGUGGCACUGAGCACCCCAUCGUGCCUGAGAGCUACUGCCACGGACAUAAAUGACAUAAAAAAUAAACAAGACCCUCACAUCUUCGUUUUUUAAUCAUUAUUUUCCUGUGGCUUUUAGCCCACACCAUCGUUCCAGCUGCCUCCCUGUCGCAGAGAGCCUGCAAACAAGUGAAGUAACUCCUCCUCCGUGUUGUCCCAUCCCAGCACGGAGCACCUUGUUGUGGCGAGGGUCAGCCGGGCGCCAAGGACUUCUCCUUUGCUAGAGCAGCACUUGGUCUUGCGGCUUGAAAACCAAAGGGAGAUGAGCAAUGUGCAAGCCUGGCAUAAUAAAAUCGGUCAACUCAAUACAAUGAGUUUUGAGCCUCUCUUCCCUUAAAUUUCUAAAACGUUAGGAACAAUUAGGGCAGCUUUGGAGAAGGGAUUAAAAAAAAAGGGAACCUGAGCUGUGCUGUUUCUAGCUGUGCGUGUACAUGCACAUAGCUGCAGUUUACAAUUUAGUUGUAGUGUUAAUAGUUUACCUCAUUUUGUGACAGCGAGGUAGGAAAUAGGGAUGAAGGGGAUGUUAUGAAGACGUCAGCGAGUUCCUCAGAUCCUCAGGAUCCAGGACUGGACGCUCACAAGCGCUCUGCUGUCCCCAGAAGCCCUUUGCGAGGCCUGUCGCGGAUCUGGCAGCUGCCGGCCUGUGACACCAUCACACCUCUCCUGCGCACACGCGGGAGGAUAGCUGCUCGCUUGGAUGCAAAAAGAGAGAGGUUUCAUUAAAUCUGCUACCUGGGCAGCAAGCCUGCUGCCUGCCGAAACCUGACAUAUGCGACCGGCCCCGCCACACGAGAGGCAGAGAUGGAAGAAAUCCAGGCCUGCGGGUGACCCAAACAAGAGCUCCUGUGCCCUUGGGCAGGUUUCACCAGAAGUGCUGUGUCUGAGCCGGGGCAGGACCUGCCUGUCCCCACACCUGGCGUUCCUGGGCUGCUACACCACUGCUUGGCCGGCCUUUUUAGGGUCAGCUCUCCAGAGCAGGCUGAAAGCUGUGGGGCUAAUCGCUCGCUUGUAAGUGCACAUCCUGCAGGAGACAACGCAUUUUGGACUGAAUGAGCUCUACGAGACACUUCCACAAUAACCUGGUGAGGGGAAGCCUUUCUUCAGCCUAAACCAAGCUCAGCUUUAGAUUUAACACAUUUCUUUUUCUACGAAGCAAGCUUCGCUUCAGAAAAGGUCACGCGCCGCAGAGCCUGGAACCGCGCAUCCCAGCAUGGAGCAAGCGGGGCUCAGAGCCUGCAGACCUGCACCGCCGCUUCCAUCUUCAGUCGGCACUUAAAUCCUUCCAGUCUGCUGCCUGUGCAAUAAGCCGGAGGUGAGAUGAGGCUCGCAGGAGCCCCAGACUCCUUCCAAAUAACUCAUCCUCUUACUUCAAAGGCUGGCCGGGCUGCCAGCAGUGUGCAGGGGAAGGCUCUGCAGAUCGUUCCCUGAAGCAGCAGCAAUAGCUUCAGCCACCAGUGCUGCCUUUUGGCAGCAAAAAUUCAUAUUGUCUCUAAAGACUGUUUAUGGCUGCUAGCAAGUCAGUUGCAAGCAAGCAAAUUAGAUUAUUAAGGGAUUUGCAUGAAAGGCCAUGCCUUGAAACCAGGCGGAAUUGCACAGCUGUCCGCUCACCUCGUUCUCAGACCUGUUGUGUGAUGUUGUAAAGGAUGCCCACGUCCUUCAGGUGGCAUCCCUGGAAGCUCUGCGGGGCUCGCACCCCACUGCAGGUACCGGCCUCGCUGGGGGAAGAUGCUGACUGUUAGCAGCAGCCUCCAAAACCAACGCAUCGCCUCCCAGCUGCAGCUGGGAGCCUGGGA